AUACGGAGGGUGCGAGCGUUAUCCGGAUUUAUUAGGUUUAAAGGGUGUGUAGGCGGGAGCCUAAGUCAGUGGUGAAAUCUCACAGCUUAACUGUGAAACUGCCAUUGAAACUGGGUUUCUUGAGUAUAGUUGAGGUAGGCGGAAUGUGUAAUGUAGCGGUGAAAUGCAUAGAUAUUACACAGAACACCGAUUGCGAAGGCAGCUUACUAAGCUAUUACUGACGCUGAUGCACGAAAGCGUGGGUAGCGAACAGGAUUAGAUACCCCUGUAGUCC
This 274-nucleotide ribosomal RNA is filed under the name uncultured bacterium. RNAcentral's name for it is "partial 16S ribosomal RNA". It matches the Rfam family "Bacterial small subunit ribosomal RNA", at positions 523 to 796 of the family's 1533-position model. The record is from RNAcentral.